Molecule: ribosomal RNA, 657 nt
Filed under: uncultured Bacteroidales bacterium
Lineage: Bacteria; Pseudomonadati; Bacteroidota; Bacteroidia; Bacteroidales
Description: bacterial SSU rRNA
Rfam family: Bacterial small subunit ribosomal RNA
Source: RNAcentral
UGGUCUUAGCUUGCUAAGGCCGAUGGCGACCGGCGCAGCGGGUGAGUAACACGUAUCCAACCUGCCGUCUACCCUUGGACAGCCUUCUGAAAGGAAGAUUAAUACAAGAUGGCAUCAUGAGUCCGCAUGUUCACAUGAUUAAAGGUAUUCCGGUAGACGAUGGGGAUGCGUUCCAUUAGAUAGUAGGCGGGGUAACGGCCCACCUAGUCUUCGAUGGAUAGGGGUUCUGAGAGGAAGGUCCCCCACAUUGGAACUGAGACACGGUCCAAACUCCUACGGGAGGCAGCAGUGAGGAAUAUUGGUCAAUGGGCGAGAGCCUGAACCAGCCAAGUAGCGUGAAGGAUGACUGCCCUAUGGGUUGUAAACUUCUUUUAUAAAGGAAUAAAGUCGGGUAUGGAUACCCGUUUGCAUGUACUUUAUGAAUAAGGAUCGGCUAACUCCGUGCCAGCAGCCGCGGUAAUACGGAGGAUCCGAGCGUUAUCCGGAUUUAUUGGGUUUAAAGGGAGCGUAGAUGGAUGUUUAAGUCAGUUGUGAAAGUUUGCGGCUCAACCGUAAAAUUGCAGUUGAUACUGGAUAUCUUGAGUGCAGUUGAGGCAGGCGGAAUUCGUGGUGUAGCGGUGAAUGCUUAGAUAUCACGAAGAACUCCGAUUGCGAAGG